This is a small nucleolar RNA of Dipodomys ordii (Ord's kangaroo rat), 126 nucleotides long. The record is from Ensembl. Lineage: Eukaryota; Metazoa; Chordata; Mammalia; Rodentia; Heteromyidae.
AACACUCAUAUGUAUCUUUAAUUUGUUGUAACAAAGCCUUACAGACAAGUGCAAAUAGUAAAUCCUCUUUUGCAACCCAGAACUCAUUAUUGAGCAUGAGUUUCGGUACAUGUAAGAAGGAAUAUG